RNAcentral lists this ribosomal RNA (893 nucleotides) under human gut metagenome. RNAcentral describes it as "bacterial SSU rRNA". It matches the Rfam family "Bacterial small subunit ribosomal RNA", at positions 173 to 1073 of the family's 1533-position model. The record is from RNAcentral.
GUACUUUUAUCCUGCAUGGGAUGUGAGUUAAAUGUUCAAGGUAUCGGAUGGGCAUGCGUCCUAUUAGUUAGUUGGCGGGGUAACAGCCCACCAAGACGAUGAUAGGUAGGGGUUCUGAGAGGAAGGUCCCCCACAUUGGAACUGAGACACGGUCCAAACUCCUACGGGAGGCAGCAGUGAGGAAUAUUGGUCAAUGGACGAGAGUCUGAACCAGCCAAGUCGCGUGAGGGAAGACUGCCCUAUGGGUUGUAAACCUCUUUUAUAAGGGAAGAAUAAGUUCUACGUGUAGAAUGAUGCCUGUACCUUAUGAAUAAGCAUCGGCUAACUCCGUGCCAGCAGCCGCGGUAAUACGGAGGAUGCGAGCGUUAUCCGGAUUUAUUGGGUUUAAAGGGUGCGUAGGCGGUUUAUUAAGUUAGUGGUUAAAUAUUUGAGCUAAACUCAAUUGUGCCAUUAAUACUGGUAAACUGGAGUACAGACGAGGUAGGCGGAAUAAGUUAAGUAGCGGUGAAAUGCAUAGAUAUAACUUAGAACUCCGAUAGCGAAGGCAGCUUACCAGACUGUAACUGACGCUGAUGCACGAGAGCGUGGGUAGCGAACAGGAUUAGAUACCCUGGUAGUCCACGCCGUAAACGAUGCUCACUGGUUCUGUGCGAUAUAUUGUACGGGAUUAAGCGAAAGUAUUAAGUGAGCCACCUGGGGAGUACGUCGGCAACGAUGAAACUCAAAGGAAUUGACGGGGGCCCGCACAAGCGGAGGAACAUGUGGUUUAAUUCGAUGAUACGCGAGGAACCUUACCUGGGUUUAAAUGGGAAAUGCCGUAUUUGGAAACAGAUAUUCUCUUCGGAGCGUUUUUCAAGGUGCUGCAUGGUUGUCGUCAGCUCGUGCCGUGAGGU